CCAGGCGCACCGGCCGGCCUCGGAGCUCUACCAGCAGGCUUUCAUGGGAGCGGAGGUGCCCACGUUUCCAUUGUGCGGUAACCGCGCUUCAUCACAGCCACCUCCAAUCGAGGCCGCACGGUGUCCCCAGAACCACGCUCGGUACAACCUGCCCCGGCCGCUGCGCUCGACUUGGGAGCGCGCCCCGCCCCGAGCGCACGACCUCCCUUCCCUCUCCGCGACUUGAGCUUGCUUCCCGGAAAGCCAGUGUAGUGGCAGCGGUUUGCCUCACAGCGCCCCUGGCAGCACUGAGAAGUGAAGGAAUAUUUGGGAGGAUCAGAAGCUUGGUCCUGAUUUUGCCAUCAACAGGAACUUGAUGACUUCAAGGGAGUCCCCAAACCCUGGGUUUCUGUUUUCUCAACUCUAACAUGAGGGGCUAGAUGCAUCUGGUUUAGUUAGUCUCCAUGAUGGUUUAGUUCGUCUCCAUGAUCCUGUGAAUUUCAGAUGUUGAAAAUCUUCGGAAAAGCCCUGAAAGAUGAACAGUGGUCUCAAAUAGUCAAGACCCCCUGCUGGGAGGAGCUUCUAUCCUGCUCUGUGGAA
RNAcentral lists this long non-coding RNA (579 nucleotides) under Homo sapiens (human). RNAcentral describes it as "non-protein coding CYP1B1-AS1:7". Lineage: Eukaryota; Metazoa; Chordata; Mammalia; Primates; Hominidae. The record is from RNAcentral.